RNAcentral lists this ribosomal RNA (742 nucleotides) under uncultured bacterium. RNAcentral describes it as "bacterial SSU rRNA". It matches the Rfam family "Bacterial small subunit ribosomal RNA", at positions 61 to 800 of the family's 1533-position model. The record is from RNAcentral.
GUCGAACGAAGCAGGGGGGCGGAAUCUCUCCGGAGGGGAAGCCCCCCUGACUGAGUGGCGGACGGGUGAGUAGCGCGUGGACAACCUACCCCGCACUGGGGGACAACAGCCGGAAACGGCUGCUAAUACCGCAUAUGCGCACGGCCCCGCAUGGGGCCGCGCGGAAAGCGCAUGCGGUGCGGGAUGGGUCCGCGUCUGAUUAGCUUGUUGGCGGGGUAACGGCCCACCAAGGCGACGAUCAGUAGCCGGCCUGAGAGGGUGGACGGCCACAUUGGGACUGAGACACGGCCCAGACUCCUACGGGAGGCAGCAGUGGGGGAUAUUGCACAAUGGGGGCAACCCUGAUGCAGCGACGCCGCGUGAGCGAUGGAGUACUUCGGUAUGUAAAGCUCUGUCAGCAGGGAAGAGAAUGACGGUACCUGACCAAGAAGCCCCGGCUAAAUACGUGCCAGCAGCCGCGGUAAUACGUAUGGGGCAAGCGUUAUCCGGAUUUACUGGGUGUAAAGGGAGCGUAGGCGGCAGGGCAAGCCUGAUGUGAAAGCCCGGGGCUCAACCCCGGGACUGCAUUGGGAACUGCCCCGCUCGAGUGCCGGAGGGGCAGGCGGAAUUCCUAGUGUAGCGGUGAAAUGCGUAGAUAUUAGGAGGAACACCAGUGGCGAAGGCGGCCUGCUGGUCGGUGUACUGACGCUGAGGCUCGAAAGCGUGGGGAGCAAACAAAAGUAGAUACCCUGGUAGUCCACGC